Molecule: long non-coding RNA, 776 nt
Organism: Alnus glutinosa
Lineage: Eukaryota; Viridiplantae; Streptophyta; Magnoliopsida; Fagales; Betulaceae
Exons: 5
Source: RefSeq, a predicted model, not a curated record
GAUCUACAGCACUUCAAGUAGAUGAGGAUUUCUAUGAGAAAAAUACAAGUCCAACUAUUGUAAUAGUAACUUCGACUAUUGUGAAGACUUUCAGGGGUGAAUACAACUUAUCAUCAACAACUGCAACAAGGGUGUACAUCAACCUUAAAAUUCCUGAAGUUGCCAGAGUUCUUGACAAGUUGAACAAUGUCACAGUAUCGGAAGUUAAAGAAUUGAAGAUUGAUCGACCACCGAUGAUUCCAGACGAGGAACUUGCCUUGCGAAAUAGAAAGACGGUUGCUGAAAUAAAAAAAAUGGAAUGGAAACCCGAGACAAAGGAAAUAUUAAUUACAUGUUUAUGCAAAGUCAAUAGAAUAGACAACAAGUUUGGAUGGUAUUAUAUUGGUUGUCUUACAUGCAAGACGAAGGUUAAGCUUAUAGGAGGAUCUUUUUGGUGUGAACGUUGUAAGGCGGAACCUAAAUUUUCUGUACCAAGGUAAACAAAAAAUAACAUUGUAUAUAAAUAUAUAUAGUUCCUACUACUAACCAAUUUGGAAAUGAAGCAGGUAUAGGAUACAAAUAGAAGUAUCAGAUACAACUGAUUCAACAACAUUCAUUGUAUUUGAUAAAGAGGGUGAACAACUUACAGGCAAGACUGCGAAAGAACUUGCAGACAUGCAAGAUGAGAAUUUGAAGGACAAUGUCUUACCAAGAGAAAUGAAAGCAAUAGUUUCCAAUGAAUAUAUAUUCCAAUUGCGACUCAACGACUAUAAUUUGAAAAGAGGAUUAGAGAAUUA